GACGAACGCUGGCGGCGUGCUUAACACAUGCAAGUCGAACGGAAAGGCCCUGCUUGCAGGGUACUCGAGUGGCGAACGGGUGAGUAACACGUGGGUGAUCUGCCCUGCACUUCGGGAUAAGCCUGGGAAACUGUGUCUAAUACCGGAUAGGAGCCAUUUUUAGUGUGAUGGUUGGAAAGUUUUUUCGGUGUAGGAUGAGCUCGCGGCCUAUCAGCUUGUUGGUGGGGUAAUGGCCUACCAAGGCGGCGACGGGUAGCCGGCCUGAGAGGGUGGACGGCCACAUUUGGACUGGGGAACGGGCCAGACUCCCACGGGGGGGAGGAGUUGGGGAGAUUGGAACAUGGGCGGAAGCCUGAUGGAAGGAAGCCGGGUGGGGGAUGACGGCCUUCGGGUUGUAAACUCCUUUCGCUAGGGACGAAGCUUUUUGUGACGGUACCUAGAUAAGAAGCACCGGCUAACUACGUG
Molecule: ribosomal RNA, 465 nt
Filed under: uncultured bacterium
Lineage: Bacteria
Description: partial 16S ribosomal RNA
Rfam family: Bacterial small subunit ribosomal RNA
Source: RNAcentral